GCUCUUAUAGCUUAGUGGUAGAGCGCCAGUCUAGUAAACUGGAGGUCAAGAGUUCAAUUCUCUUUAAGAGCA
This 72-nucleotide transfer RNA is filed under the name Belgica antarctica. Its description in RNAcentral is "tRNA-Thr for anticodon AGU". It matches the Rfam family "tRNA". Rfam says of the family: Transfer RNA (tRNA) molecules are approximately 80 nucleotides in length. Their secondary structure includes four short double-helical elements and three loops (D, anti-codon, and T loops). Further hydrogen bonds mediate the characteristic L-shaped molecular structure. tRNAs have two regions of fundamental functional importance: the anti-codon, which is responsible for specific mRNA codon recognition, and the 3' end, to which the tRNAs corresponding amino acid is attached (by aminoacyl-tRNA synthetases). tRNAs cope with the degeneracy of the genetic code in two manners: having more than one tRNA (with a specific anti-codon) for a particular amino acid; and 'wobble' base-pairing, i.e. permitting non-standard base-pairing at the 3rd anti-codon position. The record is from RNAcentral. Lineage: Eukaryota; Metazoa; Arthropoda; Insecta; Diptera; Chironomidae.